RNAcentral lists this ribosomal RNA (438 nucleotides) under uncultured bacterium. RNAcentral describes it as "bacterial SSU rRNA". It matches the Rfam family "Bacterial small subunit ribosomal RNA", at positions 338 to 773 of the family's 1533-position model. The record is from RNAcentral.
CCUACGGGUGGCAGCAGUGAGGAAUAUUGGUCAAUGGACGAGAGUCUGAACCAGCCAAGUAGCGUGAAGGAUGACUGCCCUAUGGGUUGUAAACUUCUUUUAUAUGGGAAUAAAGUGCAGUAUGUAUACUGCUUUGCAUGUACCUUAUGAAUAAGGAUCGGCUAACUCCGUGCCAGCAGCCGCGGUAAUACGGAGGAUCCGAGCGUUAUCCGGAUUUAUUGGGUUUAAAGGGAGCGUAGGUGGAUUGUUAAGUCAGUUGUGAAAGUUUGCGGCUCAACCGUAAAAUUGCAGUUGAAACUGGCAGUCUUGAGUACAGUAGAGGUGGGCGGAAUUCGUGGUGUAGCGGUGAAAUGCUUAGAUAUCACGAAGAACUCCGAUUGCGAAGGCAGCUCACUGGACUGCAACUGACACUGAGGCUCGAAAGUGUGGGUAUCAAAC